This is a long non-coding RNA of Hipposideros armiger (great roundleaf bat), 3248 nucleotides long. RefSeq lists it as uncharacterized. Lineage: Eukaryota; Metazoa; Chordata; Mammalia; Chiroptera; Hipposideridae. The record is from RefSeq and is a predicted model, not a curated record. The transcript is spliced from 10 exons.
UCUCCCUCUCUCCCCCUCUCCCUCUCUAUCCUCCUCUCUCUCUCUCUCUCUCUCCUCUCUCUCCCUCCCUGGAAGAAGGGAAUGAGGCAGGGCUGACGUGAAGGGAUGCAAAACAGCUCCUCCUAAGCCAGCUCGCAGAGGAAGAGAGACCGAAAAGCAGCCCUUUUAUCUCUCUUUUGUUUUCUCACUUCCUUCCACCCCCCCACACACACACCCCCCUCCUGUCAGCCCAAGUUUUCUUUUCUCUUUCCACCACAGAGAGGAUUUUUUUUUUCUUUCUCUCUUUCUCUGCCUUUCGGUUCAACUCUCCCACUCAAAUGGAACGCCUGGAGGGGUUUUGCUCUCCUCUUUUUCUUCCCUCUUUUCUUCCUCCUUCCUCCUUUCUUAUUUCUCUAAAAGGGUUUUGUUUGCUGUGGGAGUUUCGUUUGAAAAUCAAGUCACGCCUUUUUUUCCUCCUUUUCUUCCUCUCUCUGUUUUUCUCCUCAGAAAAGGGGAACAAAGAUGAACUGAAGCGGAGGAGAGGGAGAGCGGCAGGGCCUCUCAUGGAAAUGGGGGGGCCCGGCCCGGCACAAAGGGGGCCCGGGGACUCCGCGCCCCCCCCUCCCCCCGGCCCCUAGGGAAGCCUGGGGCGUCCUCGGGAAGGGGACUCCGCGGGGUAGGGGGCGCGGCCGCCGGGUGCCGCCCAGUCGCCCCUCCCGGGCCUGGGGUGGAAGUCUAGGUGUGUUCUUGACUCCUGUAUUUUUAAAGUAGGCAGAUGGGCUCGGAACGGGCGUCCCCGCACCGCACUGAACUGUAAAAAGAGCCUUUAAACAGCUGUGUGCAGAGCCCUGGACAGCCAGGCUCGAGGGAGCGGCGCGGGAUUCGAGCGCGCGCCGGGGCCCAGCGGGGAAGGGGCUGCGGGAGCCGGGGUCGCGCCCCCGCGGGCCCUCCAAUCCCAGGGCCUGGGCCUCGGCCCCAGACGCACUGCUGGGGGCGCCGAGGCGUGGCCGUGCGCCGCGCGGGGGUCUAGCCCUUGCGCCUCCCUGCGGGGGCUUGGCACAGCCUGGCCUCCCCCCCCUACCAGCUCCCGGGCAGGCCGGACCCUCGGCCUCCAACCUUCAGGACCCCCCGCCACUCGGAGGGAGCCGCUUUCUCGACUCCGAAGCUGGGCGGGGCCGGAGUCCUCGGACAGAGCCGGGCCGAGCCGCCACGAAGGGUCAAUUAUUCAUGGGGCGCCCGGGCGUGCUCCCAAGACCUGCUCUGCCCUCAGCGUCUCCGGAGAAGUGGGGGAGAAGACAGGGGAAAAGUUCCCAGAGCAAAGUUGGCCACAUUUCUCUCAUUUUCCCAAUGACUGCAGCCUCCCGGGACGGACCUGCCACUCUUCACCCCUCCCCCCCAGCCGGGAGGCCUGGGCCUUUAGAGACCGGGGGGGCCCCAAGGCCACUGCCCCUCACCCCACCCUAAAGCAGCGCCUGGUGUGAGCAAUGACUCCAGUCACUCAGAACAUGAUUUGUGUCUGACUGGGAGUGAGAAAACAGUAGCCUGAGACUUCGCUUCACAGCGAGGACACCAUGGUUCUCCUAUCAGCACACUGAGCCCUGGAAGAAACCCCCCAAAGUGAGCGUUUACCCACGGCGCCCUCUUCACAGGAUAUGCGGAAGCAACAUUUCUGUCGUUGUAUAUCCUCCUGCUUAGUGCACCUGAGCUGUAGCCUUCAAACAAGGCCAAACGCAGCUCUGGUAGUCAAGCAUUCAUUUAACAAAUGCUUCCUGAGCACCUAUUCUGUGCCUGCUGCUGUGCUGGGUGCUGAGGACCAGAAGCACACACUUAGGCUUUGCAGACCAGCAGGGGAAGCAGCAGAGAAGACAGGCGACCACAGUGCUACGCGAUGCAUGCAAAGGUGGCCUGGAUUGGGAGCACCUAUGCCUGAUCAAGGUGGCCAGGGUGUAGCCUCUCAGGAACAUGACUGGAAUGUGAAGGCUGUGGUUAUGAAGGCCUGGCCUCAUCAGUGCAGCUGUAGCCUGCCUGAAGAACAAACAGGAAUCAGAAGAGCCCUGUAAAAUCCAGAAGGGCCCAUAGGAGCAGAUUGUCUCCUGAGGAGACCCUGUCUGGACAGGUGACUCACUGCCUUCUCUGACACCCUUUUACCUUUCUGAAUGUCCACCUCCUGGGGUUGUUGGGAGGAAUGAAACCAGGCGUUCAUUAAACAUGUUGUCUGAAAAAUAGAAGACCUCAUUGUGAAGCCAUGAUGAUGAGCAAAAUGAGAGGGGGAUUUACAGUCUUCUCCACCAAGGAAGCAAGCCAAAGUUGCAUAUGCUUGCUGUGUGAAAACGUCGAACCACACUAAUGGCUCUACAGCAAACAGUGAAAAUGAACCCCUCCUCCACAUCCAAGACCCUGUUUCCAGGAAAACCAGCUGAGAUAUCCAGCUGACCCUACACCAUUUAUUGAGAAGACCAUCUUUUCUCUACUGGUCUACAACGUCACCUUCAUUAUUAGUCAAGAUUGUCUAACAAGAGUUCUUACUUGUAUGAAGGAACUUUGCACAUGUAACCAGCAUUGAACCAGAGAAAGGCCGAUCCAAACCCUUGUACACGACGACCAUCUCAUAAAAGCAGCUUCAUGUUAGCAACUAAACACAUCUGCCAAGCAAGGACGAGUAGCUGAAAGCCUCUACCAAGUACGCAUUAGACAAUCUUGGAUUAUCCGGUGGGCCCAGUGUCAUCACAGGGGACCUUAAAUGGGGAAGAGGGACGCAGAAGAGGACAGUCAGACGGAGACGUGACUACGGCAGGAAGGCACAAAGAUGCAACGUUGCUGACUUUGAAGAUCAGAUUCAGCCCUAGAGCCCCCAGAAAGGAACCCAGCCGACACCUUGAUUUCAGCCCAAUGUGAUGUCUGGACUGUGGCAGCCAUUGUGUGACCAGGAGGUAGCUAUCCACUAAGGAUGGUUGAAGUGCAAAGGUCCUUUGAAUGCUCCCCCAGAGGCCACACCUGGACUCCAUGAAUGGGUCCACCUGACCCAGAUGUUGGCAGAAAGGAGUCAAACAAGAGGACCACGGCUUGGCAACCAUCCUGGGGUCAGAAGAGACCCCUGAACCCAGGCUUGUACAACACACCCCUAGACCCAUGUGUACUUGGGCAAAGGGAGCUGCGUAGGUGCCCAAGAACCGUGGGGGAGGACAGAAGGGGGCGAUGCUAUUUUCUAGAGCGAGUUUAUUCAUCUUUACAGCUCCUCCGAUACUGACCCAUUUUACAGAGGAGGAAUC